GGCUCCAGGGAGUUCCACGCUGUCCAGUUCUCUCUGCCGUGAUAAACCUCUGCGGCCCGUCAUCCUGAGUCCCACCAUGGAGGAGGGCCAUGGGCUGGACCUCACUUACAUCACGGAGCGCAUCAUCGCUGUGUCCUUCCCUGCCGGCUGCUCCGAGGAGUCCUACCUGCACAACCUGCAGGAGGUCACGCGCAUGCUCAAGUCCAAGCACGGGGACAACUACCUGGUAUUAAACCUUUCAGAAAAGAGAUAUGACCUU
Molecule: long non-coding RNA, 259 nt
Filed under: Pan troglodytes (chimpanzee)
Lineage: Eukaryota; Metazoa; Chordata; Mammalia; Primates; Hominidae
Description: long non-coding RNA NONPTRT016152
Source: RNAcentral